RNAcentral lists this unclassified non-coding RNA (169 nucleotides) under soil metagenome. RNAcentral describes it as "partial contains 5.8S ribosomal RNA, internal transcribed spacer 2, and large subunit ribosomal RNA". The record is from RNAcentral.
AAGACUAUAGACCUGCGGAGUACCUGCGGAAGGAUCAUUAGUGAACGCCCUCACGGGCUUAUAACUAUUCCAAACCUCUGUGAACCGUGCCCUUCGGGGCUAUUUUACAAACAUGGUGUAAUGAACGUCAUAUAUCAUAACAAAACAAAACUUUUAACAAUGGAUCUCU